Molecule: long non-coding RNA, 1596 nt
Filed under: Monodelphis domestica (gray short-tailed opossum)
Lineage: Eukaryota; Metazoa; Chordata; Mammalia; Didelphimorphia; Didelphidae
Description: lncRNA (ENSMODG00000044410.1)
Source: RNAcentral
UGCAGAAGUGGCAGACUCUUAAGCCAUGUGUCAAAUGAAUAUAGAAAAAAGAGGAACAUAGAGAGAAAGAAUGGGAGAGAAGAAAGAAAGAAAAUGGAAGAAAGAUAGAAGGAGAGAGUCAGAAAGUGAGGGGGGAAAGAAAGACAUAUCUAUAUUGCAGGUGGGACUGCAAUCCAGGUCUAGGUCAGCUCCAUCUAUCAAACUGCUGGUGAUGAGGCCAAAGCCAUGGAAAUACUAUGGGACCCUGUUACAUCUAUUUGUUUCACAAUGGAAAAUUGUAUCCUAAAGUCUAGUCCAUCAAAAAGAUGCAUGGUCUUGUUACCCUACAUAGACUUAACUCUUUGUGAUAAAAACUUGUGGUUGUUGCUGUACAUUCAUUUUCCAAGAGGACCAGUGCUAUCAUGAAUUAAUGUCUUAAUUUGUAUGUGAAUUAAGUGAGGUAGAAUUAUACACAAAUGUCAACCUUACUCUGUCUUCUGAAGUCAUAGAAGUAUAGUAGCAAGAGAAAAGUCAGGAUGAGUAGUAAUGGCUCAGGAUGCAGUGGAUGACCAUGGCAUCUUCAACUCCUGAAGUGCUUGCUUCAGCUGCUUUCAUGGCUAAUGGAACAAAAUGGUCUCAUAUACCACCCAUUCUGCAGUUUUCACUGAUUCUCAUCAUUUUCCCUAAUUUCUCUACCACAGAUAUUGAGCAACAAGAUAGUCUUCCUGAGAAGAAAGAAGACUCAAAGAUGAAAAGAAAACUUCUGUUACAAGACUUAAAGGCUGUUAGGAAACAUCAAACUACAAUUUCAAGCAGAGGAGAAGCCUGCUCAGCCACAGGUGGGGUAAAAUGAAGAAAGGAAGGAGUACAUUAUAAAUGGGAUGUAACAUGUGUAUUGGCCAAAGAAAGAUCAAUUGUAAAAAUCCUGCAUAAACAAUCCUCUUUGGGGGAGAAUAUAUUUCAAAUGGUUUUUCUCUAAAAAGCAAAGAGCAAGGUCUGUUUUUGUCAUUAUUUUUUCUUCUCAUUAGUUCCAAAAUUUAAAAAAAAAACAUCUUUGGGAUAUGGGAGCCUAUUCUAUUUACUAAAAUCUAAAGGAAGAGGACUUUUUUCUAGCUUUUUUUGUCUGGAACUUAUGAAUUUUGCAAAAUGCAGGCUCGUUCCUCUUUGUAUCCCUUGGUUUGUAGCUGAACCAAUUAUUUUGUGUUAAAAUGGUAGCUGCUGGAUUCCUUGCCUUCUCAUUAUUAUGCUUUCAGCCCCAUACCCAAGGUCAAGAGUCAGCACUCAGAGGCUUGUUACACACAGACCAUCUUUGGUCUUUCCUGGAUCUUAAUGUACAGCUGAGUUGCAAGAACACUGGAAUUCUCACUUGGUCACCAUGAUAAGAGAAUGGAUGUCACAGGAGUUGUAAAGCCAUGUCCUCUUUCUGAUCCUAAACCUCUCAGUUGUUUUUCACCUUGAAUAAGACUGAUGAGAAGCAGUGUUUCCUGAACAAAAGGGAAGAGGAAUGUGUUCAUCAGUCUGGCAAGAAGUUAUUAUCAAAGAGUUGCUUGUCAUCCAUUCUCCUCUACAGGAGAUCAAAAGUAGGAAAACACAAUAAAAGUCAUCAUAUACUAAGCA